RNAcentral lists this ribosomal RNA (414 nucleotides) under uncultured bacterium. RNAcentral describes it as "bacterial SSU rRNA". It matches the Rfam family "Bacterial small subunit ribosomal RNA", at positions 945 to 1359 of the family's 1533-position model. The record is from RNAcentral.
UUUAAUUCGAUGCAACGCGAAGAACCUUACCUGGUCUUGACAUCCACGGAAGUUUUCAGAGAUGAGAAUGUGCCUUCGGGAACCGUGGGACAGGUGCUGCAUGGCUGUCGUCAGCUCGUGUUGUGAAAUGUUGGGUUAAGUCCCGCAACGAGCGCAACCCUUAUCCUUUGUUGCCAGCGGUCCGGCCGGGAACUCAAAGGAGACUGCCAGUGAUAAACUGGAGGAAGGUGGGGAUGACGUCAAGUCAUCAUGGCCCUUACGACCAGGGCUACACACGUGCUACAAUGGCGCAUACAAAGAGAAGCGACCUCGCGAGAGCAAGCGGACCUCAUAAAGUGCGUCGUAGUCCGGAUUGGAGUCUGCAACUCGACUCCAUGAAGUCGGAAUCGCUAGUAAUCGUGGAUCAGAAUGCCA